Molecule: long non-coding RNA, 223 nt
Organism: Protopterus annectens (West African lungfish)
Lineage: Eukaryota; Metazoa; Chordata; Ceratodontiformes; Protopteridae
Exons: 3
Source: RefSeq, a predicted model, not a curated record
UACUAUACACAAAGUAGAAAUGGUUUGUAAACAUAUACUUGGUUUUGGAUCGUGAAAUGUUCUACUGAGGCAAAGAAUAUGGUAUCCAAGAAGAAAUCUGUACCCCACAAGCCCACAUACCCUGAUGCAGAAAAUGAGGCACAUCUAGAUUGCAGGCUGCCAUCCUAUCUGCACAUGAUGAGCACACAUCUGGUUAUUGCUAUCACUGCAUAUAAGGUAGAUG